Molecule: long non-coding RNA, 15320 nt
Filed under: Homo sapiens (human)
Lineage: Eukaryota; Metazoa; Chordata; Mammalia; Primates; Hominidae
Description: non-protein coding lnc-DEGS2-2:7
Source: RNAcentral
AGCGCGCCGCCGCCGCCGCCACCGCCUCCCGCUUCCCGGUGUCGCGCGGCUGCCGCCCUUCGCGGUGCAACAGCCACAAAACCCGCCGCCUCGGGCCGGGGCCGCACUCGGGAACGGGGCGUCGCCGCUACAGCCGCUGCCUUGGGAGCCGGUGAGCGGUCCGCGCGGCCCCGGGCACCACGGGGGCGGGAGCCUGAGGAGAAGGGAGGGAGGGGCCGGCCGGGAGCGGGGUUGAGGCGGGUGGGCGGCCCGGGGGCCGCGCGGGGAGCGGCUGGCGCGUGCGGGGCGGCCCUGUCGCCCCAAUAAAGUCUGCUUUGACGAGAAUCGCCUGUGCUUCCUUUUUCGCGUCGGGAGGUGUUUGUUCUUGUCGCCUGGCUUCGGGCGAGCGAUGGCCGCGGGGUGAGUGUGGAGGACCGAACGGACAAAAUCGGGCGACGCGGGCAGCGUCCGGUAUCUCGCCGCGAGCGCCCGGCGGGGUGCGGGGCCGAGCGCGGGGUCGGCGCGAGCUCGGCGGAAGCGCCCGCGGAGCCCCAGGGCCACCGUUGGGAGGAUGUCCGUUAUUCUUUAGUGACCCGCGGAAACCUGAGACGCAGCCGUUGGGUGCCUGUUUCCCCGUAGAUCUUAGAACUACAGGGUCCUGGCGGCUUUCUAAAAUUUUCUCCUGAGCUUCCCCUUCUUUGCUCUCCAGUCAGCCAUUGUUUCCCUUGCCCACCCUUUCCCCCUAUUUGUCACUUUCAUAGGUGCUCCUUUUUACGCCCACCAGGUUUUGCAUUUGUCUCAUUUAAAAUUCCAAAUUUUUUCAGCCGUGUCCUCCAUUGUACCUGCAACAGAGCCUAGAUUUUUUUUUGUGGCACGGAUUAGCGGCAAGUUAAACCUUCCUGAAUGAGUUACAUUGCAGCGAAGUGUUUCUGCUCUUAUCUGUCCUUUUGGUCGACCUGACAAUUUGCCUUAAAGCAAAACAAAGAUUUCCUGAUUUUUAAGGAAACUAUGACAAAUUGAAGAGUUGGAAAGGUGUGUCUUUGUUGUACUCGUUUGGCCGAUUUAACGCCUCUGUGAAUUUGUUCAACUUAAAUAUUAUCAACAUUUACUGUUUUGUAAUAGUGUUCAUGCAGUUGAGGCCCAUGAUUUUCUGAACUGUACGCAAUACAUUAAUCUUAGGCUCAACUUGUUAAAACAAGUAGACUAUACAUUCUCAUUAAAAGGCAACUUUAUAAAUCCUAGUCCCUUCUUAUUGCUAAAUCGCAUUGGACUUGACUUUUGAGAAUAUUAGUGUAAGGAGUGACAAAUUAGAUCGUUUUCUCUUUGAAUCUGAGCUUUGAAACCUGAAUAAUUCCCCUUGGAGUACUGCACCCACUCAGUUUGGAAAAGUCAAAUCUGUUGAAUUAAGUCAUCUCUGGCUUUAUAGCUUAUAAACUCUGCAUAAAUAUUUCAUGAAUGGAAACCAGUUGUGGGAGAACUUUUACAUGUCUUAAUGCUUUUUAAAUUUCACUUUCCCCACUCUCUAGUAAUUGAUGGGGAAAUGGCACUGCAAGUAGUUGAUACUUCCCCAUAAACACCAAUUGUGAGAGCAAGAGAAAUGAGGGAAUUACCCAUUAAGCAUCCUGGUUUCUGAGCUGUAGAUCUGUAGGUGUUCACAUUCAAGUGGAGAAAGCCCAAAAGGAUUGAAAGCUUUGAGGAAAGGUAGUAGGUCAGAAAGCACUAAAAUGCUCCUGAAGGCCAUCCUAGUACCUGCUCCAGAAAAUAGCUUUUUAAACUUGCCCCAUAGGAGGUGACCUGUUAGGCCUUAAGUUUUUCUAGUGGGAGAUAUUCUUGUUUUCUACUGUUUAACGGUGGAGUAUCUUAUGACUAGACAUGCAAAGAUAAUGUGUCGUGUGGCUCUCGCUUGCUUGCACUUGCUAAAGGUAAAAAUUAUUUUAAAAGGACAGGUCAAAUUGCAGUUUCAGAAUCAUGGGAUUCUAAAAGUGAGGAUAGGCUGGGCGUGGUGGCUCACACCCAUAAUCCCAGCACUUUGGGAGGCUGAGGUAGGUGGAUCACCUGAGGUCAGGAGUUCCAGACUAGCCUGGCCAACAUGGUGAAACCCCGUCUCUACUGAAAAUACAAAAAUAAGCUGGGCGUGGUGGUGCACGCCUGUAGACCCAGCUACUUAGGAGACUGAGGCAGGUGAGUUAAUGGAAACCAGGAGGCGGAGGUUGCAACGAGCCGAGAUCGCGCCACUGCACUCCAGGCUGGGUGACAGAGUGACACUCUGUCUCUAAAAAAUAGUAAUAAAAGUGAGGAUAAAUUUAACUGCUGUGGGUUUUUUUGUUUUUGUUUUUCUGAGGCAGGGUCUAGCUUUGUCUCCCAGGCUAGAGUGCAGUGGCACAAUCAUAGCUUACUGCAGCCUUGAACUUCUGGAUUCAAGCAGUCCUCCCAUCUCAGCCUCCCAAAGAGCUAAGGACUACAGGUGCCCCACCACAUGCCCAGCUAAUUAAAAAAUUUUUUUUUUGGAUAUGAGGUUUUAAGGGCUCUGUUGCCCAGUCUGGUCUCCUGCCUUGGCCUCCCAAAGUGCUGGAGUGCACCUAGCCUCCCUACUUUUAUUCUGUUCUGUUUGUACAAAAUGCAUUGGGAUUCCCUCUGAAUUCCUAGAGUCCUUUUAUUUUGGCAAUAAUUGAUUAUUGUCUCUCAACCCUAUCUGAGCAAAGGCCAUGGCUUUGUCAGCUCAGUGCCUUGUGCAUGAAGUGAUGCCUUGUACGUGAAGCUUGCUUUUUUUUUUUUUUUUUUUUUUUUUGAGAUGGAGCCUCGCUCUGUCACCCAGACUGGAGUGCGGUGGCGCAAUCUUGGCUCAUUGCAACCUCCGCCUCCCGGGUUCAAGCGAUUCUCCUGCCUCAGUCUCCCGAGUAGCUGGGACCAUAGGCCCGCACCACCACACCUGGCUAAUUUUUGUAUUUUUAUUAGAGAUGGGGUAUUGCCAUGGGUGGCCAGGCUGGUCUUGAACUCCUGACCUCAAAUGAUCCACCCACCUCGGCCUCCCAAAAUGCUGGGAUUACAGGAGUGAGCCACCGCGCCUGGCGAUCACUUGCUUUUUGAUUCAUGCAAAAACGUGAAGUUUAAAGUACCAUGGCAGAGGGGAAUUCUGUGUGAUGUUGCUUGACCAUUUCUUAGUCACUACAACCUCCGUCUUCUGGGCUCAAGCGAUUCUCACUGCGGUGAGCCGAGAUCAUGCCAUUGCACUCCAGCCUGGGGAACAAGAGCAAAACUCCAUCUCAAAAAAAAAAAAUUGAACAUCAGCAACUAUAGAAGAAAUAAUAUUAGAUACAUCACAACAGUUGUGCAGAGCUUUCUAGAAUCUCCAAGAAAUCAGAGCUCACUAAUGGCUGAGGAGAUGCAGUGACAAAUAUUCUACAAGUAAUAUUCCUUUGACUACCUUCUCAGCACAGCAGCAGGACAAAGAUGUGGACUGUCAGCUGACAACUCCUUUGCCAUCUCCUCACCUCCCUCAUUUCCCAUUCAUUCAUUUUCUGAAACUUUCAUUAAAUACUCAAACUUGGGUUCAAGGAAGGAGGGUGAGGAGUGAGAGUAAGCAGAAGAAUAAAGGCUAUUAAGAGAUGCUGAUACCUCUCCUUCCUUGCCUAGUCCAGACAGUGUGUUCUCCUUUAUUGAUUACAGGGAGGCUAUUAAAUCUGAUUCAGCUAUAUCUCUAACAGAUUGGGAUUGAUUCAAGUCAUGAACUCAUGCUAAAUAAUUUUCCUUAUCAGAACUAAUUUGGCUGCCUCAUGAAAUUGCUUUGUGGUUCUAAUGUUUAGUUCUUUUGCAGUUCCUUCAAGUAGGAAGGAAAUAGGUGCUCUGCAUCAGUUACAGUAUUGAGACUGUUAGAGCCAGAUGGGGCAUCUAGUCCACAUUUCAUUUUGCAGACAAGGAAACUACCUAGGAGAUGUGCUCAACGUCACAUGGCGGUGUGGUAAAAAGGUAGUGAUUGAGGUGAAAAGCGAGAGCUUGACUUUCCUGCCUUUUGUGAGACUGCAAAACCUAUGUAAGUUUCAGUAGUGUGAUCCUGUUCCAAUUCACAUCCACGCCCAGUUUUCAAUGAAAUGUUUACAAAAAUCAGAAUGAAAAUUUUUGUGCAUGCAUCCAAAUUAGUUACCCCUAGUUUGGAUCCAAGUUAAAUGAAAAACUAGGUAUGUACAUGUUCUUAACUGUCUAAACUAUAGAUACCUUCUUGGUUGUGGAGUCUUUGAAACCUGAGCUAUUAAAGGGAUACUUUCCCACCAAAUCAAUGCAUAUAUUAGAUUUGGAGUUUAAAUUAUGGUGAAAUACCCUGUGUUUGUUUGUUUUUUUUUUUUUAGACAGGGUCUCACUGUGUCACCCAUGCUGGAAUGCAGUGGUGUGAUCUCUGCUUGCUGCAACCUCUGUCUUCUGGGCUCAAGUGAUUCUCCUGACUCAGCCUCCUGAGUAGCUAGGAUUAUAGGUGCAUACCACCAUGCCCUGAUAAUUUUCUUAUUUUUAGUAGAGACGGGGUUUCACCAUGUUGCCCAGGCUGGUCUCAAACUCCUAAGCUCAAGCAAUCCACCUGCCUUGGCCUCCCAAAGUGCUGGGAUUACAGGCAUAAGCCAUUGUACCCGACCCCUAACUAUAUACUAUAUAUGUUUAUAUGGGGUUUUUUUGUUGUUUUUUUGAGAUGAAAUCUCACUCUGCCACCCAGGCUGGAGUACAGUGGCACAAUCUUGGUUCACUGCAACCUCCGCCUCCCGGGUUCAAGCAAUUCUCCUGCCUCAGCCUCCCAAGUAGCUGGGAUUACAGGCACGCACCACCACGCCCUGCUAUUUCGUUUUUAUUUUUAGUAGAGACAGGCUUUCAUCAUGUUGGCCAGGCUGGUCUUGAACUCCUGAUGUCAAGUGAUCCACCGGCCUUGGCCUCCCAAAGUGCUGGGAUUACAGGCACCAUCCACCGCACCCAGCCUCCUAACUAUAUGUUAAUAGGUGAAAUCUCACGUCUAUAAAGCUGGCACCCUUUAUGUAGUAUUUUAUGUCCUUUUAUAAGACCUUAAUUAAAUUCUUUUUCUUAGGCCAAGUGGUUUAUUACAAUGAUUGAACCUGAUUAUUGCCCAUAAAUAUAAAGAAAGUUGAAAUCUUUAGUAAUAGAUUAGCCUCUGUUUUUCUCUGCUUUGCUAGUAUAACGUCCCUCCAAAGAAGAAGCUAAAUCAACUUAAUUGUACUGAAGUUGCUCCUACUGCCCACCCAUCCCAACAAAUAUGGAAUGCACAAUUAAACAGAAUGGAAUUUUUUUUUUUUUUUUUGAGACAGGGUCUCACUCAUUGCCCAGGCUGGAGUGCAGUGGCAGGAUCUCAGUUCACUGUAGCGUCAACCUCCCCAGCUCAAGAGAUCCUCCCUCCUCAGCCCUCCAAGUAGUUUGGACUACAGGCAUGCAUCAUCACACCCAGCUAUUUUUUGUAGAGACAGGGUUUUGCCAAAUUGCCCAGGCUGGUCUUGAACUCCUGAGCUCGAGGGAUCUGCUCGUAUCAGCCUCCUAGAGUGCUGGGAUUACAGGCGUGAGCCUGGCCAGAAAUUCUUUAAUCCAUGGUAACGUCCUUUUUUUUUUUUUUUUUUUUUUUUCUGAGACAGAGUUUUGCUCUGUCGCCCAGGCUAGAGUGCAGUGGCGCGAUCUCAGCUCACAGCAAGCUCCACCUCCCGGGUUCACGCCAUUCUCCUGCCUCAGCCUUCCGAGUAGCUGGGACUACAGGAGCCCGCCACUGCACUUGGCUAAUUUUUUGUAUUUUUAGCAGAGACGGGGUUUCACCGUGUUAGCCAGGGUGGUCUCGAUCUCCUGACCUCAUGAUCCACCCGCCUCGGCCUCCCAAAGUGCUGGAAUUACAGGCGUGAGCCACCGUGCCCGGCCAAUCCACGAUAACUUUCAUAGCCACACUGGUUUUCACAGAAGCACAUUUAUUGCAGUGUGGAAAAUACAGGAAGUCGAUUCAGGUAUUUGUGUGUGUGAGGCAGGUGAGCGUGGUGGAGUGGGAAGAGCUUAUGUGAUUUGGGAGUUAACUUGUCCUCUCUGUGAAACUGGGCAGUAACCUUUCUGAUAGGAAUUUUUUUCUGUUUGUCAGAAAGGAGUGACGCCCCACAGGGAGUUAGGUGAGACCAGCUGUUCAGUCACCAUUUACCUCGCACUUGCAGUGCAAGGCCCAAAGGAUAGAUAUAGCUGUGAACAAGAACAAGACAAGCAAGCCUGGCUUCACAGAGUCUACAGGCCAGAGGGACUUCGGCUGUGAACAGAUAGUUCAAAAAUACAUAUCUAAAAAAUUUCUUUUUCUUUUGAGACAGAGUCUCUCUCUGUCGCCUAGGCUGGAGUGCUGUGGCACAAUCUCAGCUCACUGCAACCUCUGCCUCCCGGGUUCAAGCGAUUCUCCUGCCUCAGCCUGCUGAGUAGCUGGAACUACAGUCAUACGCCACCACACUCGGCUAAUUUUUUUGUAUUUUUAGUAGAGAUGGGGUUUCACCAUGUUGGCCAGGCCGGUCUGGAACUCCUGACCUCAAGUGAUCAACCUGCCUCGGCCUCCCAAAGUGCUAGGAUUACAGGCAUGAGCCACCGCGCCCAGCCCAUACCUAAUAUUCAUUUAUAGAAGUCCUACAAAGAAGUGAGAGUUUGGGGACAGAGAAUCUAGCCUAGCCUCGCAAGGUAAAGGCCUUCAUGAGAAAGGGACAUUUCAACUGUGACUUGAAAGUUGAACACAACAAGAAGUGCCCAUCCCAGUGUUUGGCUUUUUUUUUAGUGUUAAUAUCUGUGUGAAACAGGAGUAGAUAAAAUAAAUCAGGUGAUAGAUCUGUAAAUAUUUUGAAUAAACUCAGAGCGCUCAGUAUAAAAGGGCUGUAUUUAGCCUUGGAAAAUCAACAAAUUAGUUCACUGAAACUGCUGCUGAGGAUGGCUGUUGAUUAACAUUAGGCACUUGAUUAAGAUUAGGUCCUACUUUUUAAUUUUUACUUGUUUUUUAUAAGCCAUUUCUUCCAAGUUCCCAUUGAACUUGGGGGUUGAUAGUGGAAAUUGUUUUGGAGUUCUGGGCCUUGGAAGGUAGACCAGCUGCCAAGGGAAUUAGAAAGGUUCUUAGCUGCAAAACUGGUAAAUGGGAAGAACAGAACGUGGAGUCAUACAAAUUUGGGUUCAGGUCCUGGUUCUGCCAUUUAUCACCUGUGUAACUAUCAGAAAAACUUGUAACUAAUCAACUUGUCAUUUUUUCAGCUGUAAAACAGGAAUAAGCCGGGUGCAGUGGCUCACACCUGUAAUCCCAGCUCUUUGGGAGGCCAAGGUGGGUGGAUCACUUGAGGCCAGAAGAUUGAGACAAGUCUGGCCAACAUGGCGAAACCCCGUCUCUACUAAAAAUACAAAAAAAUUAGCUGGGCGUGGUGACACAUGCCUGUAGUCCCAGCUACUUGGGAGGCUGAGGCAGGAGAAUCGCUCAUACCCGAGAGAUAGAGGUUGUGGUGAGCCAAAAUCACGCCCCUGCAUUCCAGCCUGGGCGACAGAAUGAGACCCUGUCUCAAAAAUAAAUAAAUAAAACGAAUAAAAAUAUCAGUCUUCAGGAGUUAUAGAAAUCUGUAAGGGUAAGUAAAAUACUUGAAUCAGGUGUGCAAAUUAAGGAAGAGGGCACAGUGUUUGUACUCUCCAGGACUGGUUCUGUUUCCUUCUUACCCUUGUUCAUAGGUGAACUGGCCUGCCCACUCACAUCUUAGCAUCUGUGUUUGUUCUUUGCAUUUAGGCACUGCUGACUUCAGGACUAAUGCUUAUAGACAGGACCCAGUGUUCACUUAGUUUCUUAGGGUAGAUGAGGACACAUUGCUAGCCAGACCUUUUUUUUUUCUUCUUCUUCUUCUUCUUCUUUUUUUUUUUUUAAGAGAUUUGGUAUAUUAGUGAUAAGCUUUUAAAAUCUGAGCCUCCAGAACCUGAUGUGUUUGCCUCCUAGGUAUCUCUCAAACCCAACUCUUCUCCAUGCCUGUGACUGCUGUCCUCACACGGGCUCUGGCUCUCUCCCCUCACCUCUGCUGACCAGCUGCUCUAACUGCCUCCAGUCUUCCUUCCCCAAGGCACUCCUGGAUUUUCCUAGCAUUAGCAUGUAACCGUAUCACUGCCCUGAUCAAAGUCUUCAGGGGCUUCCCAGGGCUUCAGCUCCUCAGCAAGGCAUUCCCAAGCCUUCCAGCCUUAUUCCCCGUCCUUCCUAUUACCUCGAGGUGUGUGGACCAUGACAGUUCCUAUCUUUGUUUUCAGAGCGAUCUUUUCCUCUGCCUAAAAUAUCCUUUCCCACCUUCUUCAACUUUAUACUUCUUCCAGGACAGCCUGGAUGACCUCUCUAGGACACACCUAGGGGAAAUAGUUGGAUACACUAUUGUAUAUCAUGUGCGUGUGUGUGCAUUCCCUGUGGCAGUCACUUUGUUGCCUACCCAACUAUUCGUUUUUUUUUUGAGAUGGUGUCUCCCUCUGUCACCCAGGCUGGAGUGCAGUGGCAAGAUCUCUGCUUACUGCAACCUAUACCGCCAGGUUCAAGUGAUUCUCCUGCCUCAGCCCCCCAAGGAGCUGGGACUAGAGGCGUGUGCCACCACGCCUGGCUAAUUUUUGUAUUUUUAGUAGAGAAAGGGUUUCACCAUGUUGGCCAGGCUGGUCUCUAACUCCUGACCUCAAGUGAUCCACCCACCUCAGCCUCCCAAAGUGCUGGGAUUACAGGCGUGAACCACCAUACCCAACCCCAACUACUCUUUCAACAACCAAUGUUCUUUCCUUACAGAGCCUCAGUUUUUUUCUUUUCAGAUAUAGAGUAGAAAUCUUCUGAUGCCUUGAGGAGAGGGAAAGAAUCUACCUUAGCUUGAGAAGUGAAUCCUGAUUGGUUGAACAACCAAGGCAAUCUUACUCCCUUCGGCCAGUGGUGGAUCUGCAGAGUUGGGGGAAUGCGACCCAGUUCUGGCCAGUGAAAUGUAAAGGGAAAUGUGUUACUAGAGAAGCUUCUCUUCCCUAAUAAAAAGAUAGAACUUCAGAAUACAGCCCUCCUUUUGCCUGCCUGAAAACCUGUGUGAUGGCCAGGGCGGCGGCCACCACCUAAAGAAAAGGCUAAGAGAAUUACAGUCAUUGGUCAGGCACUAUCAAUCAUGAACUCACUACCACUGGGCUGCACAUGUGAGCCACUGUACAGGGAUGUUGGUAACUCGAAAUGGACCUAUUCCCAACUGAUAGUGAUGCACAUCAGACUGUCAGUAGUUCCCUGCGGAAAUGGGUGGGGCAUUGUAAGGGGAGCUAACUCUUCUGUAUGGCAAAAGAGUCUCCUCUUGGGAGUUUUAUGGGCUACCUAUGUGCAAUCCACCAGAUAUAAAACCAUAGAUUUUAUAAAUGGUUUUAACAUGAAGAGGGACUGUGAUAAAAUGAGCACAAAUGUAAUGUAGUUUGCCUCUGCAAACUAGGAUUUGGGUGAUUGGGUUUAUUUUGUAUUUUUAUUUUUUGGGGAUAGGGUCUCACUCUGUUACCCAGGCUGACUUGAACACAGCUCUCUGUAGCCUUGACUUCCCAGGCUCACGGGAUCCUCCUGCCUCAAGCAAUCCAGCCUCCUGAGUAGCUGGAAGCACAGGUACACACCACCGUGCCCAGCUAAUUUUUUUUUUUUUUGAGAUUGGGUUAUCACUCUGUCAGCCAAGCUGGAGUGCAGUCGCGUUUUCAUAGCUCACUGCGACAUUGACCUUUCUUGCUCAAGCGAUCCUCCCACCUCAGCCCCCUGAGUUGCUGGAACCACAGGCACACACCACCAUGCCCAGCUAAUUUUUGUAUUUUUUCUAGAGACAGGGUCUCGCUAUGUUGCCAGGGCUGGUCUUGGACUCCUGGGCUCAAGAGAUCCUCACGCCUCACCCUCCCAAAUUCCUGGGAUUCAAGGCAUGAGCCACCGUGCCCAGCUAAUUUUUAAAUUUCUUUUGUAGAAACGGGGUCUCCCUAUAUUGCCCAGGCUGGUGGGCUCAAGCAGUCCUCCUGCCUCAGCCUCCCAAAGUGCUAAGAUUACAGAUGUGAGACACUGCAUCUAUUGGUUUUAUUUUUUACUUUGUAUGUGUGUAGUAAUCAAACAUGCAUUUAAAAAUUUUUGUUACAAAAUGCACAUAACAAAAUUUACCAUCUUAACCAUUGUAUGUAUUUUUUUUUUUAAUUUUGUUUUUUGAGGCGAAGUCUUGCUCUGUCGCCCAGGCUGGAGUGCAGUGGCACAAUCUUGGCUCACUGCAACUUCCGCCUCCUGGGGUUCAAGCGAUUCUCCUGUCUCAGCUUCCCAAGUAGCUGGAACAGGCACACACCACCACACCCAGCUAAUUUUUGUAUUUUUAGUAGAGAUGGGGUUUCACUACGUUGGCCAGGCUGGUCUCGAACUCCUGGUGUCAGGCGAUCCGCCCACCUCGGCCUCCCAAAGUGCUGGGAUUACAGGCACGAGCCAUCGUGCCCAGCCUAUUUUUUUUUAGACAGAUUCUCACUCUGUCACCCAAGCUGCAGUGCAGCGGCGCAAUCUCGGCUCACCGCAACCUCCGCCUCCUGGGUUCAAGCGAUUCUUGUGCCUCAGCCUCCUGAGUAGCUGGGAUUACAGGCGUACACCAUCACGCCCAACUAAUGUUUGUUAUUUUUAGUAGAGAUGGGGUUUCACCAUGUUGGCCAGGCUGGUCUCGAACUCCUGACCUCAAGUGAUCUGCCCACCUCAGCCUCCCAAAGUGCUGGGAGAUUACAGGCGUAAGCCACCAGGCCUGGCCAUCUUAACCAUUUUUAAAAUGUACAGUUCAAUACAAUAUGAAUUGAGUACAUUCAUAUUGUUGUGCAGCCAUCAUCACCAUCCAUCUCCAGAACUCUUCAUCUUGCAAAACUGAAACUGUAUACCCAUUAAACAAUAACUCCCCAUUCCCUCCUUCUCCCAGCCCUGGUAACCACCAUUCUGAUUCUUAUCUCUAUGAUUUUGACUACCCUGGGUACCUCAUUUAUAUUGGUCGGCUCAUACAGUAUUUGUCUUUUUGCGACUCUCUUAUUAGAACUUAGCAUAAUGUCCUAAAGGUCAUCCAUGUUGUAGCAUGUGUCAGAAUUUCCUUCCUUUUUCAGGCUGAGUAAUAUUUCAUUGUAUGUAUCUACCACAUUUUGCUUAUUCAUCUGUCAUUGGACACUUGGGUUGCUUAUAUGUUUUAGCUAUUGUGAAUAAUGCUGUUAUGAACGUGGGUCUAUACAUACACAGUUUUUAUGUUUUAUAUUAAGAAAAAAAAAUUUAAGCUGUGAAAGCCAGCUGUGCACGGUGGUUCAUGCCUGUAAUCACAGCACUUUGGGAGGCUGAGGCAAGAUAAUUAUUUAAGUCCAGGAGUUCAAGACCAGCCUGGGCAACAUAGUGAGACCCCGUGUCUACAAAAAAAUACAAAAAUCAGACAGACAUGAUAGCAUGUGCCUAUGGUCCCAGCUACUUGGGAGGCUGAGGUAGGGAUCCCUUGAGCCCAAGAGGUCAAGGCUGCAGUGAGCUGUGAUUGCGCUGCUGCACUCCAGUCUAGGGGGCAGAGUGAGACCCUGUCUCUCAAAAAAAAAAAAAAUUAACUAAAAAAAGAAAAGCUGUUGAAGCCAAAUCAUCUAUUUUGAGUUUAUGCUUUUCCCCUGAUUUCUCAUUUUGGAGCCGGUCUUUCGGCUGCUUUAGCCAACUGUAACAUUUCCCCACCAGAAGGAAAAAUUAAAGUGGAAAGCUGGUCUCCCUGUUUAAAACAUAAUAGUGUAGUGACAUGGUUAACUGUGUUUUGUGGUUAACUGAAUUCAAGAGCUCUACCUGCUUCCUACUUCCUUUCCUCCCUCCCUCCCUCAUAGCUAAAAAGUUUAACUUCUCACCGCCUGUAUAAUUCUCUAAAAAAUUUUGACCUUCUUUGUCUCUUUGUCUCUGAAACUGUUCCCUGGAGAGUCACUGUGUGCCCAUAGUCUGGGUGUUCCUUCAUUGUACUGACUAUGUUGUAACGGAAUCAUCAGUCUGUUUCCACAGUGAACUAUAUAGGAGACCAAAAAAGCAACUAAUUCAGUUCACUAAAUAUCAAGUGCUCCCAUGUGGCAGCCACCACUGGGCACCCAGAGCUCAGUAAUGAUGAGCCAACUGGGUACCAAGACACUCUUCAUGGAACAUCUCUUUUUUAAGGUGGGAAGAGGUGGUAUUUAGAUUUACUGAUUUGGUGGGCAUCAUAGAAUUUGAGUGAAAAGAGACCCUGGAGCUGAUUUAGUCCAGUUACUUGAUCUGUAAGCACGGUCCUGAGAUCGGCUGUUGAACUGCUAGAGUUUUUCUGCUUUCAUCCUGGUUGCUCAGUGCGCUGUAACGAACGCUGAUUUUCUUAAGUUGGCUCUCUGGCCCUGAUCUUCCUCUACUCAAAAGCCACCACCCUUCUGCAUAUAUCUUCCUGGCAGUUACACCAUGUUAUCUGCCAUGUCCCAGCUGUCUCCUUGCUUUGCCUUCUACCUGGAAUGUAUUCCUCCCCACACUCUGCCUCUGGACACUUAAUCCUUCAACUUCCGCCUGAGAUGCCACUUUCCCAGCAUUCCAGCCCGACAUAAGCCCUCCCUCUUGAGCGACCAUAUUCCCCUGAUCAGCAUGGUAUGUGUGUUACACAUGGCUUUGGGCUUUGAACUGUACUUGUAUGUCUCUGUUGAAACCUGCCACUCCUCCUAUCAGUCCAGCUAGCUGUGUUGAUAUGUUACGUGAGCACAAAGAAAGGAAUGGGAGAUACACACUCAUUAGUUAAUAAUGGUUACCUUAGGCAAGGCAGGGGAGAGAAUAAAGAAUUAAAGAUGAAACUCAUCCACUGACCUCCCAGCAAGUGUGUGCAAUAAGAGCUCACUAUUCAAAGCUAUGAGACAUGGCCACAUGUGGGUCACUGGGAAGCAGAUUGAGAAGUGCAUCUAGGCUGUUCCAGCUGGUACAGGUCACGUCAGCAACUCAGCUGAGGAUUUAGAGACUGCUUUCAGAAGCAUGGGAUAGCCUUUACAGUGAAUCAAACAGAGCUCCUACUUAGGGGACAAAGAGCAAAAUCACUCCUCGCACCUCCUCGCAUCUGUGUCUUUGACUGCAGCUGCCUAUUCACUAGUUCUCAUCCUGCCUGUGACCCAGCUCUCCCAUCUUGUCUCUCGCAGUCUCUUCCUGUCCUCCUCCUGGUGUGUCAGUUUUUUCUUUUCCCGUCCCUGGUAUGUCUGUCUUCCCACCCCCUCCUCCCUUUUAAUAGAGGCACUGUGUGUAUUUCACACUUGUUCUGUUUAUUGGCGAUGGCUUUCUAUGUUAUUAAUAGAGCCAGUGGCCAGCAGAUGCAUUGUGCUUUGGGGCUUUCUUUUCCCCCUUGAAAAAUUCCAGCCUAAGUUAUUUUUCAGUGAGUAAACAGGCUUUAAUUGAUUUCUCUCCCUGUGGGUCAGUGAUCUAUAGAGAAGCACUGCCCCCCGGUCCCCUUGAACCACAGGGCUGGAAAAGGCCAGAGCCUCUGGAGCUCUGCAUGGGCCCCCACAGCUGGACCCCUAGCCUGCCCUCGCAUCCUGUCUUCCUUCCUUCCUUCCCUCCCCCCAUCCACCCACUGUAUAAAUCAGAGCCCUGGGGGCCAGCCUGCGUCUCCACACCUACUCCACCGACAAGCCAGGUCUCCCCGGUGUUUCUCCUUCUCCCCUCUUGGGUGCUGGGAAUGGGAUGGGCUAGGCCUCCUCUUUGGCAUUUCCUCUGGGUCUGCAGACUGGCAAGGUAAAAACUGUUUCUCAAACUCUCUGGGAACUGGGGUCCUGGAAGAAGACUGGGCUUCUUCAAUCAGAUGUUCCGUUUGGGAAGGCUGAAGUCAGGUGGAUUAAUAGUCUUCCCCCUAUUUUGUUUUCUGGCAAGUUCAUGGAGACGGAGCUCAUUCCGUGUCUGCGCCUCGGUUUGUGGGCGCCAGGAGGAAGUUGUUGCAGGAGUGGUCACAUUGUUUUCUGAACCCCUGGUCACCCCGCAGCUGCACACUCUUGAACUCAGUAAUGCUAGUGGAGGCCCCCUGAUCCCACCUUCCUGACUUGGCUCUUUUUGGUGGGUCAGCCAUUCCCGGAUCCCCAGCCCAUUGUUUUCAGCCUAUCCCAUAAGCUCCUAAUUCCCUGUAUUAACCCUUGUCAGUUUAAAUACUGAGAGUAAUUUCCUACACUUCCCACAUCAGACCUGCACCCCAAGCCCCACCCCUGGGGCUCCCCUGUGGCCUUCCAGCUUCCGCUCAUCACUCACCCCCACAGCCCAUGGCAUUUUAAAGACAAAUCUAAUCAUGGAAUUCCCUUGCUGAGAACCCUUCAAAAGACAGUUUUACUGAAAAGGAAAUGCAAACCCCCGACCAAGGCUUAAGGCGUAGCUCCUCCCCUGCCUGCUUCAACUCCUGUCGUAUGCCCCUCGCACAGGCCAGAUUCCUCAAACACACCACACUCCUCCUUCCUCAUUGCCUUAGCACAUGUGGUUCCCUCUGCCUGGAAUGCUUUUCCCUUGCUCUCCUGUUUCUUUGCUCUGCUAGUUCCUCUUCUCCAGGUCUCAGCUUAAAUAUCUCCGCUGCAAAGAUCCUCUGCUUACCGCGAGCCGGGCAGCUCCACCCUCCCCAAUAUUCCUUCUCCCUCACCCCAUCUGUGUUUUCAUAGCAGCGCAGUUUGCAGUUCUGUGCUGGUUUGGGUGCUUGGUUAUCUCUCCCUGUUGAUUGUGUCGGUUGCUACUUGAUUCCACUGCUGCUUACAAAGAGCGGCUCAAUCAAUGCUCCUGAAGUGAAAGCCUGCCGAGGCAGUGAGGCCACGCCCAGUUAAGAGCAGCCUUUGGGGCUGCGGUUGUUAGCAAAGAGCUAGUAUCGCAAGCCUUACACAGAGAGGUGCUCAAUAUCUGAACUGGAUUGAAAGUCACUUCCCCUCUGGGAGCCUCUGUUGUUCCAGUUCCCAAAACUCAAGGGCCCUGGUUGUCCCGAGAGGAGAACCAACUUCCUGCUGUAAAUUCAGCCUGUAUUUUACACAUUGCAUAUGCUUGGGCUUGGUUUAAACUGUCCAGCCUGCUUUAAACCAAGUUACAAGGGUCAGGUCCUACAAACAACCAAAAGAACUCCUUAGCAGAAUGGGGCCUGGGUCAUGGAUGUAACUCUGUCCUAAGGGCAGAUUUAUGGGCCUACCUUGGGGGCAAAGUAACAACUCAGCCUUAAAUCAUAAAAGCUGUGAAAGCAGUAAGGCUGCUUCUGGAGUGGGCGACUUUCUCGGAAGCUCCAUGGUGAUGGUGAGCCGCUUGGACGAGCUGGAAGAGGUCAGGGCAGAUGUGAGGGAGCCAACUUCCUGGGGCACCUACUGGGCAGCAGCCUCGAGUGUCAGCUAUCCUGUGU